This 864-nucleotide ribosomal RNA is filed under the name Richoniella sp. MEL 2321963. Its description in RNAcentral is "eukaryotic LSU rRNA". It matches the Rfam family "Eukaryotic large subunit ribosomal RNA", at positions 75 to 925 of the family's 3401-position model. The record is from RNAcentral. Lineage: Eukaryota; Fungi; Basidiomycota; Agaricomycetes; Agaricales; Entolomataceae.
UUCCCCUAGUAACUGCGAGUGAAGCGGGAAAAGCUCAAAUUUAAAAUCUGGUGUCUUUGCUAUCCGAGUUGUAAUCUAGAGAAGUGUUAUCCGCGCUGGACCGUGUAUAAGUCUCCUGGAACGGAGCGUCAUAGAGGGUGAGAAUCCCGUCUCUGACACGGACUCCCAGUGCUUUUGUGAUGCGCUCUCAAAGAGUCGAGUUGUUUGGGAAUGCAGCUCAAAAUGGGUGGUAAAUUCCAUCUAAAGCUAAAUAUUGGCGAGAGACCGAUAGCGAACAAGUACCGUGAGGGAAAGAUGAAAAGCACUUUGGAAAGAGAGUUAAACAGUACGUGAAAUUGUUGAAAGGGAAACGCUUGAAGUCAGUCGCAUUGGUCUGGGAUCAACCUUGCGUUUUUGCUUGGUGUACUUCCUGGUUAAUGGGUCAGCAUCAAUUUUGACCAGUGGAAAAAGGUUAAGGGAAUGUGGCAUCUUCGGAUGUGUUAUAGCCUUUGCUCACAUACAUUGGUUGGGAUUGAGGAACUCAGCACGCCGCUAGGUCGGGUUUUAACCACGUUCGUGCUUAGGAUGCUGGCAUAAUGGCUUUAAUCGACCCGUCUUGAAACACGGACCAAGGAGUCUAACAUGCCUGCGAGUGUUUGGGUGGAAAACCCAAGCGCGUAAUGAAAGUGAAAGUUGGGAUCCCUGUCGUGGGGAGCACCGAUGCCCGGACCAGACCUUCUGUGACGGAUCCGCGGUUGAGCAUGUAUGUUGGGACCCGAAAGAUGGUGAACUAUGCCUGAAUAGGGUGAAGCCAGAGGAAACUCUGGUGGAGGCUCGUAGCGAUUCUGACGUGCAAAUCGAUCGUCGAAUUUGGGUAUAGGGGCG